UACGAAGGGGGCUAGCGUUGUUCGGAGUUACUGGGCGUAAAGGGCUCGUAGGUGGCCAACUAAGUCAGACGUGAAAUCCCUCAGCUUAACUGGGGAACUGCGUCUGAUACUGGAUGGCUUGAGUUUGGGAGAGGGAUGCGGAAUUCCAGGUGUAGCGGUGAAAUGCGUAGAUAUCUGGAGGAACACCGGUGGCGAAGGCGGCAUCCUGGACCAACACUGACACUGAUGAGCGAAAGCCAGGGGAGCAAACGGG
Molecule: ribosomal RNA, 253 nt
Filed under: uncultured bacterium
Lineage: Bacteria
Description: partial 16S ribosomal RNA
Rfam family: Bacterial small subunit ribosomal RNA
Source: RNAcentral